Molecule: ribosomal RNA, 160 nt
Filed under: Pyrenophora teres
Lineage: Eukaryota; Fungi; Ascomycota; Dothideomycetes; Pleosporales; Pleosporaceae
Description: 5.8S ribosomal RNA
Rfam family: 5.8S ribosomal RNA (bases 10-150)
About the family: 5.8S ribosomal RNA (5.8S rRNA) is a component of the large subunit of the eukaryotic ribosome.
Source: RNAcentral
UCAACAACGGGAUCUCUUGGUUCUGGCAUCGAUGAAGAACGCAGCGAAAUGCGAUAAGUAGUGUGAAUUGCAGAAUUCAGUGAAUCAUCGAAUCUUUGAACGCACAUUGCGCCCUUUGGUAUUCCAAAGGGCAUGCCUGUUCGAGCGUCAUUUGUACCCU